UUUUUUUUAAAGUUUUUUUUAGUUCUUUUUGUAAUAUAUUUAGGGUGUUUUUUCAGAAAUACUUUUCCUUCUGUUUUUUAAUUUUGUUUAUACUAUUUUUAGUUUUCUUUAGUUUUUUUCUGCCUGUUUAAAGUUUUUUUUUUAGUUUUUUUUUAGUUUUUUUUAUUUAUAAAUAUAUUUAGGGUGUGUUUUUCCGAUAUACUUUUCCUUCUGUUUUUUUAUUUUGUUUAUACCAUCCUUUCUAUUUUUUAGUUUUCUUUAGUUUUUUUCUGCCUGUUUUAAGUUUUGUUUUGUUUUUUUAGUUUUUUUUGUUUUUUCUAUAUAUUUAGGGUCUUUUUUUCUGAAAUACUUUUCCCUCUGUUUUUUUAUUUUGUUUAUACUAUCCUUUCUAUUUUUUAGUUUUCUUUAGUUUUUUUCUGCCUGUUUUAAGUUUUUUUUUUUUUUUUUUCUAUAUAUUUGGGGUAUUUUUUCUGAUAUACUUUUCUUUCUGUUUUUUCAAUUUUGUUUAUACUAUCCUUUCUCUUUUUUUAGUUUUCUCUAGUUUUUUUCUGCCUGUUUUAAGUUUUUUUAUUAGUUUUUUUUUAGUUUUUUUUAUUUAUAAAUAUAUUUAGGGUGUGUUUUUCAGAUAUACUUUUCCUUCUGUUUUUUUAUUUUGUUU
Xyrichtys novacula (pearly razorfish) is the source of this 658-nucleotide non-coding RNA. The record is from the annotation of a GenBank genome assembly. Lineage: Eukaryota; Metazoa; Chordata; Actinopteri; Labriformes; Labridae.